RNAcentral lists this long non-coding RNA (847 nucleotides) under Homo sapiens (human). RNAcentral's name for it is "non-protein coding lnc-GRM6-3:1". Lineage: Eukaryota; Metazoa; Chordata; Mammalia; Primates; Hominidae. The record is from RNAcentral.
GGUCUGCAAAGCUAUGGGGUGUGACCACAGGGCAGUGCGUUUGUGGCAUCCAGACCCACACUUGUGCCGUGGUGAAGUUCAAUGAACAGAAGCUUGUGACAGACUCCUUUGACGACACUGUGGCUUGCUGGGAAUGGAGUUCCGGAGCCAGGAUCCGGCACUUUCGCGGGCACACGCGGGCAGUGUUUAGCGUGGACUACAAUGAUACCUUGGUGAGCGGCUCUGCGGCCUUCACUGUGAAAGGAUGGACUUUAUCUACUGGGGCAUGCCUGAGCACACUCACUGGGCACACGCCAUGGGUCACCAAGGUAGUUCUGCAGAAGUGCAAAGUCAAGUCUCUCUUGCACACAGUCCUGAAGGAUACCUCCUCUUAAGUGCAGACAAAUAUGAGAUUAAGAUUUGGCCAACUGGGACAGAAAUCAACUGCAAGUGCUUAAAGACAUCCUCUUGUCUCUGAGGUUAGAAGUAUCCGCCUGCAGCCAAGACUUCGUGUUGAUGGCAAAUACACUGUUUGUAGUUCAGCCCUCCGUCUCUAGCAGCGGGACUUUGCCAACAGUUAUGAUAUUCUCAGGGUCAUCAAGACUCCUGAGAUAGCAAACUUGGCCUUGCUUGGCUUUGGAAAUACUGUUGCCCUACUGUUUGGCAGCUGCCACCUGUACAUCAUGGACUUGCAGACCCAGAGCCUCAUUAAUCGCUGGCCUCUUCCAGAGUACAAGAAAUCAAAGAGAGGCUCAAGCUUCCUGGCAGGCGAAGCAUCCUGGCUGAAUGGAGCAGAUGGGCACAAUGACACGGGCUUGGCCUUUGCCACCAGUAUUCCUGACCACAGUAUUCACCUGGUGUGGAAGGA